RNAcentral lists this transfer RNA (85 nucleotides) under Rubrivivax sp. RNAcentral's name for it is "tRNA-Leu". It matches the Rfam family "tRNA". Rfam says of the family: Transfer RNA (tRNA) molecules are approximately 80 nucleotides in length. Their secondary structure includes four short double-helical elements and three loops (D, anti-codon, and T loops). Lineage: Bacteria; Pseudomonadati; Pseudomonadota; Betaproteobacteria; Burkholderiales; Sphaerotilaceae. RNAcentral also lists the same sequence under 1 other name. The record is from RNAcentral.
GCCCGGGUGGCGAAAUCGGUAGACGCAGGGGACUCAAAAUCCCCCGCCGCAAGGCGUGCCGGUUCGAUUCCGGCCCCGGGCACCA